This is a small nuclear RNA of Sorex araneus (European shrew), 100 nucleotides long. Lineage: Eukaryota; Metazoa; Chordata; Mammalia; Eulipotyphla; Soricidae. The record is from Ensembl.
GUGCUUGCUUGGCAGCAGAGACUGAAAUUGGAACAUUACAUGGAAGGUUAGCAUGAACUCUGUAAGGAUGAUGUAGAUUUUUGAAGCAUUCCAUUUUUUU